This 440-nucleotide ribosomal RNA is filed under the name uncultured bacterium. RNAcentral's name for it is "partial 16S ribosomal RNA". It matches the Rfam family "Bacterial small subunit ribosomal RNA", at positions 338 to 795 of the family's 1533-position model. The record is from RNAcentral.
CCUACGGGUGGCAGCAGUGGGGAAUAUUGCACAAUGGGGGAAACCCUGAUGCAGCGACGCCGCGUGAAGGAAGAAGUUUUUCGGUAUGUAAACUUCUAUCAGCAGGGAAGAAAAUGACGGUACCUGACUAAGAAUCCCUGGCUAACUACGUGCCAGCAGCCGCGGUAAUACUUAGGGGGCAAGCGUUAUCUGGAUUUACUGGUUGUAAAGGUAGCGUAGGCGGUUUAGCAAGUCAAAAGUGAAAGCCCGGGGCUCAACUCCGGGACUGCUUUUGAAACUGUUAAACUAGAGUGCAGGAGAGGAUAGUGGAAUGCCAAGUGUAGCGGUGAAAUGCGUAGAUAUCAGGAGGAACACCAGUGGCGAAGGCGACCAGCUGGACUGCAACUGACGUUGAGGAGCGAAAGCGUGGGGAGCAAACAGGAUUAGAUACCCCGGUAGUC